UGCUCCAAGGCCACCCCGGGCCUUUCCAGGCUUUCUAAACAGCCGGGAAUCCGACAACUUUCUGCUUUUUUGGUUUUUUUUCCCUUUUCUUUAUAGGUUUUGUUUUCCACUUUGCUCCUCCGAGAAAAUUCCUUCCCAAACCCGGUGUUGGGGGAGGGGGUGGUUGGAGGUUUGUUUUGUUUUGGGCUCCCUUUUGGAUAUUUCCCCCCAAUUUGUCCUAAACCAGGACACCAGCCUUUUUGCCAUUUUUUUCCCGUUUUUUUUCCAGGAUUUUUCUCAUUUUAUUCCCGUUUUUUUCCCAGGAUUUUUCCCAUUUUUUGCCGUUUUUUUCCCAGGAUUUUUUCCAUUUUAUUCCCAUUUUUUUCCCAAGGAUUUUUACCAUUUUUACCCAUUUUUUUCCCUUUUUUUCCCCUAGGAUUUUUCCCAGGAUUUUCCUUUUUUUUCCCAUUUUUUUCCCGGAAUUUCUCCAGGAUUUUUCCCAUUUUUUCCCAUAAUUUUCCCCUGAUUUUUCCCUUUUUUUUUCCCAGGAUUUUCCCAUUUUCCCCGGAAUUUUCCCCAUUUUUUCCCAGGCUUUUUGUCAUUUUUUUGCCAUUUUUUUGCCAUUUUUUUUCAGGAUUUUUCCCAUUUUAUUCCCGUUUUUUCCCAGGAUUUUUCCCAUUUUCCCCCAUAAUUUUUCCUGGAUUUUUCCCGGGAUUUUUUCCCAGUUUUUUCCUGGAUUUUUUUCCCCGGAAUUUUCCCAUUUUUCCCCAGGAUUUUUCCCAGGUUUUUUCCCAGGAUUUUUCCCAUUUUCUCCCCAGGAUUUUUUCCCAUUUUUUCCCCGGAAUUUUCCUAGGUUUUUUACCAGGGUUUUCCCAUUUUCUCCCCAGGAUUUUCCCAUUUUUUCCCCCAGAUUUUUCUCAUUUUUUUCCCUUUAUUUCUCAUAAUUUUUCCCUGAUUUUUCCCGUUUUUCCCUGGUUUUUCCCAUUUUUUACCCGAAUUUUUCCCUUUUUUUUCCCCCAUUUUUUCCCAGGAUUUUUCCCUUUUUUGUCCAGAAUUUUCCUGGAAUUUUUCCCGUUUUUGCCCAUUUUUUUCCCAGGAUUUUUCCCAUUUUCCCCGGAAUUUUCCCCAUUUUUUCCCAGGCUUUUAGUCAUUUUUUUGCCAUUUUUUUGCCAUUUUUUUUCAGGAUUUUUCCAAUUUUAUUCCAGUUUUUUCCCAGAAUUUUUCCCAUUUUUUCCCAUAAUUUUUCCCCGAUUUUUCCCGCUUUUCCCUGUUUUUCCCCAUAAUUUUCCCCCGAUUUUUCCCGGGAUUUUUCCCUAUUUUUUCCCAUUUUUUCCAGGAUUUUUGCCAUUUUAUUCCUAUUUUAUUCCCAUU
This 1350-nucleotide long non-coding RNA is filed under the name Zonotrichia albicollis (white-throated sparrow). Its description in RNAcentral is "lncRNA (ENSZALG00000000530.1)". The record is from RNAcentral. Lineage: Eukaryota; Metazoa; Chordata; Aves; Passeriformes; Passerellidae.